CGAGGAUCGCUCUAUGUAUGGGGUUUUCUUGGAAAACUGUAUUUUGUUUUUAUAUAUUUUUCGCUCAUUUCAUUGAAAGGCGAUCCUCGUCAUAGUAACAAAUCAUCAGGUUGCCAAGACCUAUUGAAUGAGACAUGUUUCGUUUCUGUUGGUGGGUGGGGACAGUGCCCAUACAAAUUUGCCCAUGGUCCUUUGAGAGAUUUA
Long non-coding RNA from Cydia pomonella (codling moth), 204 nucleotides. RefSeq lists it as uncharacterized. The record is from RefSeq and is a predicted model, not a curated record. NCBI's taxonomy places the organism in Eukaryota, Metazoa, Arthropoda, Insecta, Lepidoptera, Tortricidae. The transcript has 2 exons.